AGAGUUUGAUCCUGGCUCAGAACGAACGCUGGCGGCAGGCUUAACACAUGCAAGUCGAACGAUGUAGCAAUACAUAGUGGCGCACGGGUGAGUAACGCGUGGGAACGUGCCUUUUGGUUCAGAAUAACACCGGGAAACUGGUGCUAAUACUGGAUACGCCCUUCGGGGGAAAGAUUUAUCGCCAAAAGAUCGGCCCGCGUAAGAUUAGGUAGUUGGUGGGGUAAUGGCCUACCAAGCCUACGAUCUUUAGCUGGUCUGAGAGGAUGACCAGCCACACUGGAACUGAGACACGGUCCAGACUCCUACGGGAGGCAGCAGUGGGGAAUAUUGGACAAUGGGGGAAACCCUGAUCCAGCCAUGCCGCGUGAAUGAUGAAGGCCUUAGGGUUGUAAGUUCUUUUAUCCGGGAAGAUGAUGACGGUACCGGAAGAAUAAGCUCCGGCUAACUUCGUGCCAGCAGCCGCGGUAAUACGAAGGGAGCUAGCGUUGUUCGGAAUUACUGGGCGUAAAGCGCGCGUAGGCGGCGAUACAAGUCAGGGGUGAAAUCCCACAGCUCAACUGUGGAACUGCCUUUGAAACUGUAUUGCUAGAGCGUUGGAGGGGAUAGCGGAAUUGCUAAUGUAGCGGUGAAAUGCGUAGAUAUUAGCAGGAACACCGGUGGCGAAGGCGGCUAUCUGGACAACAACUGACGCUGAGGCGCGAAAGCGUGGGGAUCAAACAGGAUUAGAUACCCUGGUAGUCCACGCUGUAAACGAUGAGUGCUAGCCGUUGGGACCUUCGGUCUCGGUGGCGCAGCUAACGCGUUAAGCACUCCGCCUGGGGAGUACGGUCGCAAGAUUAAAACUCAAAGGAAUUGACGGGGACCCGCACAAGCGGUGGAACAUGUGGCUUAAUUCGAGGCAACGCGAAGAACCUUACCAGGCCUUGACUCGCCCUCUAUGGAUUCUUGAAAGAGAGUCCUUCACUUCGGGUGGGAGGAGCACAGGUGCUGCAUGGCUGUCGUCAGCUCGUGUCGUGAGAUGUUGGGUUAAGUCCCGCAACGAGCGCAACCCUCAUCCCUUGUUGCUAUCAGGUUAGGCUGAGAACUCUAGGGAAACUGCCGGUGAUAAGCCGGAGGAAGGCGGGGAUGACGUCAAGUCCUCAUGGCCCUUACGGCCUGGGCUACACACGUGUUACAAUGGCGGUGACAAUGCGCUGCUAACUCGCGAGAGUAAGCUAAUCGCAAAAAGCCGUCUCAGUUCGGAUUGUACUCUGCAACUCGAGUACAUGAAGUUGGAAUCGCUAGUAAUCGUGGAUCAGCACGCCACGGUGAAUAC
RNAcentral lists this ribosomal RNA (1315 nucleotides) under metagenome. RNAcentral describes it as "bacterial SSU rRNA". It matches the Rfam family "Bacterial small subunit ribosomal RNA", at positions 8 to 1369 of the family's 1533-position model. The record is from RNAcentral.